Molecule: microRNA, 22 nt
Filed under: Bos taurus (domestic cattle)
Lineage: Eukaryota; Metazoa; Chordata; Mammalia; Artiodactyla; Bovidae
Description: bta-miR-2285cx
Source: miRBase by way of RNAcentral
AACACCCAAAUGAACUUUUUGA